This 349-nucleotide long non-coding RNA is filed under the name Linum usitatissimum (flax). Its description in RNAcentral is "long non-coding RNA (LUSI_LNC001239)". Lineage: Eukaryota; Viridiplantae; Streptophyta; Magnoliopsida; Malpighiales; Linaceae. The record is from RNAcentral.
ACAUUGCCAUUGGCACUUUCAAGUUUCUCACAAAUGGCUUGCAUUGCAGGUAUGAAGUCCUUUACAAGCACAUCACCCUUAAAACAAUCUCCAGUAGUUUCUUCAUCGACAUCAGCUUCUACUAGAUCAACAAGACUUCCAAGAGCUUGUUCUUCUUUGUUGAUUUCAAAUCUCUGUUGAGCACCUAAACGUGUUGCAUAGCGAGACAAGUACAUCAAAUUAGUACUGACAGAGCUUUUUAUUUCACCAGCAGCUCCAGCUUCUAUCGUCUUCACAAUUGCCGGUUGUCUCACAAUUAAGUUUCGACUCUCAAGGUUCUUCACUAUAUAAAAGAAGUUUCUCCCUUCCA